UACGUAGGUGGCAAGCGUUAUCCGGAUUUACUGGGUGUAAAGGGCGUGUAGGCGGGGACGCAAGUCAGAUGUGAAAACCACGGGCUCAACCUGUGGCCUGCAUUUGAAACUGUGUUUCUUGAGUACUGGAGAGGCAGACGGAAUUCCUAGUGUAGCGGUGAAAUGCGUAGAUAUUAGGAGGAACACCAGUGGCGAAGGCGGUCUGCUGGGCAGCAACUGACGCUGAGGCGCGAAAGCGUGGGGAGCAAACAGG
Molecule: ribosomal RNA, 253 nt
Filed under: uncultured bacterium
Lineage: Bacteria
Description: partial 16S ribosomal RNA
Rfam family: Bacterial small subunit ribosomal RNA
Source: RNAcentral